This 490-nucleotide ribosomal RNA is filed under the name Scolecobasidium sp. NH136. RNAcentral describes it as "eukaryotic LSU rRNA". It matches the Rfam family "Eukaryotic large subunit ribosomal RNA", at positions 87 to 580 of the family's 3401-position model. Lineage: Eukaryota; Fungi; Ascomycota; Dothideomycetes; Venturiales; Sympoventuriaceae. The record is from RNAcentral.
CGGCGAGUGAAGCGGCAACAGCUCAAAUUUGAAAUCUGAGGUCCUUUGGGCUUCCGAGUUGUAGUUUGCAGAGGGAGCCUCGGAGGGCGUGCCGGCCCAAGUGCCUUGGAACAGGAUACCGCAGAGGGUGAGAGUCCCGUAUCCGGCCGGUGGCGCGCUCCGUGUGAGGCCUCUUCGACGAGUCGAGUUGUUUGGGAAUGCAGCUCCAAGCGGGUGGUAAAUUCCAUCUAAAGCUAAAUACUGGCCAGAGACCGAUAGCGAACAAGUAGAGUGAUCGAAAGAUGAAAAGCACUUUGAAAAGAGAGUCAAACAGUACGUGAAAUUGUUGAAAGGGAAGCGCAUGGGGGCAGACUUGGCCGCGGGGUUCAGGGUGCGUUCUCGCGCCUGCACUUCCCCGCGGACAGGCCAGCAUCGGUUCUGGGGGCCGGACAAAGGCGCCGGGAAGGUGGCAGUCUUCGGGCUGUGUUAUAGCCCGGCGCGCAAUGCGGCC